This 529-nucleotide ribosomal RNA is filed under the name uncultured bacterium. Its description in RNAcentral is "partial 16S ribosomal RNA". It matches the Rfam family "Bacterial small subunit ribosomal RNA", at positions 355 to 873 of the family's 1533-position model. The record is from RNAcentral.
UGGGGAAUAUUGCACAAUGGGCGCAAGCCUGAUGCAGCCAUGCCGCGUGUGUGAAGAAGGCCUUCGGGUUGUAAAGCACUUUCAGCGAGGAGGAAGGUGGUGAGCUUAAUACGCUCAUCAAUUGACGUUACUCGCAGAAGAAGCACCGGCUAACUCCGUGCCAGCAGCCGCGGUAAUACGGAGGGUGCAAGCGUUAAUCGGAAUUACUGGGCGUAAAGCGCACGCAGGCGGUUUGUUAAGUCAGAUGUGAAAUCCCCGGGCUCAACCUGGGAACUGCAUUUGAAACUGGCAAGCUAGAGUCUCGUAGAGGGGGGUAGAAUUCCAGGUGUAGCGGUGAAAUGCGUAGAGAUCUGGAGGAAUACCGGUGGCGAAGGCGGCCCCCUGGACGAAGACUGACGCUCAGGUGCGAAAAGCGUGGGGAGCAAAACAGGAUUAGAUACCCUGGUAGUCCACGCUGUAAACGAUGUCGAUUUUGGAGGUUGUGCCCUUGAGGCGUGGCUUCCGGAGCUAACGCGUUAAAUCGACCGCC